Long non-coding RNA from Alosa sapidissima (American shad), 202 nucleotides. RefSeq lists it as uncharacterized. The record is from RefSeq and is a predicted model, not a curated record. Lineage: Eukaryota; Metazoa; Chordata; Actinopteri; Clupeiformes; Clupeidae. The transcript has 3 exons.
CUUCCUAUACAUCCUAACAUUCCUGUCUGUCAGGCAACAUAUGUAUAUGCUAAACAGACUAUGACAACUAGUUCAACACAUUUGCAUGUAAUGACAGAAGCGAUGAAAUAAGGCCAAUUUGUUUUAUGGGGUAGGACUAUUCAGCAUGGGACCAGUAAAGGGCAUUUUUUAUCCAACAGCAGACAUUUGCAAUUGAACAUUU